UAACGCGUGAGGAACCUGCCUUUCAGAGGGGGACAACAGUUGGAAACGACUGCUAAUACCGCAUAAUACGCGGGUGUCGCAUGGCAUCUGCGUCAAAGAUUUAUCGCUGAGAGAUGGCCUCGCGUCUGAUUAGCUAGUUGGUGAGGUAACGGCCCACCAAGGCGACGAUCAGUAGCCGGACUGAGAGGUUGGCCGGCCACAUUGGGACUGAGAUACGGCCCAGACUCCUACGGGAGGCAGCAG
This 243-nucleotide ribosomal RNA is filed under the name uncultured bacterium. Its description in RNAcentral is "partial 16S ribosomal RNA". It matches the Rfam family "Bacterial small subunit ribosomal RNA", at positions 111 to 354 of the family's 1533-position model. The record is from RNAcentral.